CUUCCCCCCGUCCUGUCCUCCCACCAGUGCGCUUCUUUAGUCCCCAGCAGGUCCUCCAGGCCUCUCUCCAAGCCUCCCAAACUGGUAAACCUGGGGAGAGGGGAGAGCGCUCCGUGGCUCCCAGACUGAGGUUUCAGAGACCUCUUGCAUCAAAACACUCUUGAGACUAAUUCAGAGCUGCCAACUUUUAAUUCUGUCUUGUAAAGAUAUUGUAAAGACCAUCACUUCAAAAAGGAAAGACUUGAACAUAAAAAGGGCAUAAUCUCAGAAUUACAUUACAGAAUUGAAGCCCCUUAGAUCGAAGACGUCUCCCUUCGCAUUGUUCACACUUACGUUUGAUCACGCACAGGUGAGACUGGAUCUCAGCCCUCGGGAAGCCCUGGUGUGGGGAGAAGACCCUUGGCAUCAUCUUGUCAGGUUUCUCCUGGAAGGCCCAGACCUCCCCCAGCAGGUUACUGACAGGACCUGAGUCCUAGAGCCCGUGGCGCAGGCUGAGAAGAACUGUGAGAUCACUCCAGCCCCUUCCCACGCCACCAUCUCACAGAUGAACAGACUGAAGAGCACGGAGGGACUUUGCCCAAAGGCUCUCAUCUCUCAGGGAGUUAGACGCAAGGCUGGACCUAGAACCCAGUCUCUGGACUUAGGAUGCAGGGCAGAAAUGUACCCUGUACCAUCACCCCAGGAAACUCCCUAACACUACAAACCAGCCUGACAUCUCUGUUUACCAGAUCAGGGAGUGGUCGGCCUCAUGCCUUUCACUUCAGAGAAGAUUCUGGAGCCAGAAAACCUUAGAUUUGAAUCCCAGCUCUGCCACUUACUAGCUGUGUGACCCUGGAUGAGUUAUGAUGCGUCACCUCCCCACACAUCAGUUUCUGAUUGAAGAUAGUGAUAGAACAUGCCAUCGCCCAGAGUUACGGCAGGGGUUACUGUGUGGCAAGCAGAAUAAUGCUCCCCAAAGAUGUCCACAUACUCAUCCCUGGAACCUGUGGCUUUGCUACCUUCCAUGGCAAAAAAAGAUUUUGCCAGUGUGAUUAAGGACCUGGAGAUGGGGUGGUUGGCCUGGAUUCUCCAGGUGGGCCCAUUGUCAUCACAGGGGUCCUUAGUUAUACAAGAGGGAGGCGGGGCCUCAGAGUCAGAGAAGGAGAUGUGAGGGUGGCAGCGGAGGUCAGGCUCAUGUGACUGCUGGAAGGGGGCCAUGAGCUGAGGGGCAUGGCCAGCCCUUCCCUAGAAGCUGGAGAAGGCAAAGGAUUUUCCCCUGUAGCCUCCAGAAGGAGCACAGCUCUGCUGGCACCAUGAUUUUAGCCCAGUGUGACCCACUUUGGACUUCUGUCCUCCCUAACUGUAAGGUAAUAAAUUUGUAUCAUUUUAAGUAUGAAAUUUGAACAUAUAUGCAAAACUGUUAGAAAGGUACCUCGCACUUAGUAAACAGUAACUAUUGUGUUUUCUGGAA
This is a long non-coding RNA of Cercocebus atys (sooty mangabey), 1450 nucleotides long. RefSeq lists it as uncharacterized. NCBI's taxonomy places the organism in Eukaryota, Metazoa, Chordata, Mammalia, Primates, Cercopithecidae. The transcript is spliced from 2 exons. The record is from RefSeq and is a predicted model, not a curated record.